This 206-nucleotide ribosomal RNA is filed under the name uncultured bacterium. RNAcentral describes it as "partial 16S ribosomal RNA". It matches the Rfam family "Bacterial small subunit ribosomal RNA", at positions 568 to 774 of the family's 1533-position model. The record is from RNAcentral.
CGCGUAGGCGGGAUGGCAAGUCGGUCGUGAAAUCCUUCGGCUCAACCGAAGAACGUCGGCCGAUACUGCCGUUCUUGAGGGAUGCAGAGGAGAUUGGAAUUCCCGGUGUAGCGGUGAAAUGUGUAGAGAUCGUGAGGAAGACCAGUGGCGAGGGCGGGUCUCUGGACAGUUCCUGACGCUGAGGCGCGAAGGCCAGGGAGCAAACG